This is a long non-coding RNA of Sorghum bicolor (sorghum), 512 nucleotides long. RefSeq lists it as uncharacterized. NCBI's taxonomy places the organism in Eukaryota, Viridiplantae, Streptophyta, Magnoliopsida, Poales, Poaceae. The transcript has 4 exons. The record is from RefSeq and is a predicted model, not a curated record.
GAUGAUGGAUUGGUGAUAGAAGAUGGUCCUAACGAUUUUGAGACCAUGCAGCUUCUUGGUGCAGAAUGUGCAUUCCAGUCAUAUCGUAUAGAUGGUGAUUGCCCAGGCAAUGCUGCCGCAGAUGAUCCGUAUGAUUUUGUUUACCAAAAUUUGCCGAAAGGGCACCAUGUUUUGAGGAAGGCUCCUGACUGCCAACAUUGUGGGGCCAUGAGAUUUGAAGGUGAAUCACCAGGAUUCUGUUGUCGAAUGGGCAAGAUAAAAGUCCAUAUCCCUGAUGUACCAGCUGAGUUGAAGAGGUUGUUCACAAGUCAGGGUUGGUGCCAUUCCAAAUCUUGAUGACUAUGUAAUUGAGCUCAACACUAAUGUGACACCCGACCAACGAAGGUAUAAUGCCCCUACUACCACACAAGUUGCUGCUAUCUGGACCGAUGGAAAUGACCCUCAAAGAUGCUUUGAUAGGAGUGUCCUUGUAUACCCCAGGGGAGAGAAGACGCGCUAUAUCAAACCAUAUC